Molecule: long non-coding RNA, 762 nt
Organism: Myripristis murdjan (pinecone soldierfish)
Lineage: Eukaryota; Metazoa; Chordata; Actinopteri; Holocentriformes; Holocentridae
Exons: 3
Source: RefSeq, a predicted model, not a curated record
GGGUUAUUCAUAUUGUGUUACUCAAGCAGCGAGCAGCAUACAUCUGCCACGGUUAAGGUUUUCUUAUCGAGGAUUAAUACCACAAAACCAUGGUGUGACUGCUGAUCAAAGCCAGCAUCUACGUGGUCAGGAAGAUCCGGGCCUCCAUUGCUGAGGGAGAGCAACUGGAAAAGCCCAUCUUAACACCAUGUAGUGCUAUUGCUGAAAGGAGAGCGGGACUUGGGCCAAGAGGUGAGCCACCAGCAGCCAUCCUGAACACCCAACCCAGUGAGGAUGUUGCUGAAGCUGCAAGCCCACAGAUGUCUGCAGACACAGCUGUGCAGAAAUGUGGGUCCUGACGUUAAGAUCACACUGGACUCUGGGGCUAGCUACGACCAACCCACUGCAAAAACAUAAGCUGUCCUAUUUCUUUUCUUUUUUUUUUCUGUGUCACACUAUUAUAACUCUGAAUACACAGUCAAAGAAAAGAGGGCGACAUCUAAACCCCAUCACCAUCAAGAACAGCACCGAAACAGUCACACGGUUGCAUUGAAUUACAGAACCAACCUUUGUGUGACAGUACAAAGGACAUUUUUCUUGCACAAGCCUCUGUCCGGUGUCUAGGCCACGCUCAGCGGCCGCAGUCCCUGUAUGCUUUCACUCACUGCAGUGUUUGAUGGCCUGCUCACCAACCCCUACCUCUGGGGGCUGAGCAGGCCUGAUGUCUCUGCUGCAGCCACUAUACCAAUAAAUGAUAAAAAAAUUAAAAAAAAAAAACCUUUC